AACUCUGGGCCCAUGCCCUAGGCAAUGUCACUCUCCUCUUUCGCCUGGGCCCUCUCCUUAGUGGGGAUUGUGACAUAUUACUUCUCCUAGCACCUAGGCGAUGGAACUUCCUCUCAUGCCCGGGCCCUGCCUAUGUGAGUGAUUGAAUAGAUGGCUAGACGCAGCCUCUAUAUUAUGCCACUCUCUUCUUCCUGAGCUCUACCCACAAAGGAAAGAUUGUGGCAUAUUACUGAACUAAGCAACCUAGUGACGUGUCUCUUCUGACUGGGGCUUGCCCACAGAGACAACUGUGACAUAGCACUGAGCCCAGGACCCAGGUGAUGUGACUCUGCUGCCUGUUUCCAACAUUCAUGAGAGGAUGGUAACUAUCCCUUGCCAAGAACUCAGGUGAUUUGACUGUCCUGCCUUGUUGCUGCCCUCAGAGAAGAUUGUGAUAUAUCUUCAGCCCCAAACCCAGACUUUCCUGCAGGAGUGAUGCUGACAUGUUCCUCUAUUUGGCAUCUGAGUGAUAUGACUCUUGCCAUGGUCUAGCCCACAGAUGGAAUUGUGAUGUGUUGCUGUACCCAGCACCUAGGUGAUGUAACUCCAUUUUUCUGCCUUGGCAUUGCUCACAAAAGGUAUUUUGACAUAUCUCUGGGGUAUGUACCCAGGUUUCAUGACUCUCUUGCCUGUGCCCUGUCCACAAAUUGUCAUGAAAUAUUGCUGGGUCCAACACCCAGGGAUGUAACUCUCAUGCCUAGGCCCUGCCAACAGGGGGAAUUGUGACAAAUCUGUGUCAAUAACCCAGGUUAUGUGACUCUCUUUUUUUGCCUGGUCCCUGCUCACAGAGGGCAUUAUGACAUAUUGCUGAACUCAGCACCUAACUGAUGUGAUUCUCCUUUCUAGUUUUUGCCCACAGGGGAGAUUGUGACAUAUCACUGGGCCUCAAACUAAGGUGAAGUUACACUUUCAUUUUCGAACUGUACUCAGAAGGCAUCGUGACAUAUUCCUGGGCCCAGCACCAAGGUGAUGUGAGUCUCCUGCCUGCACUUUGCCCACAAAUGGCAUUGUAACAUAUCUUUAGACCUAUCAACUACUUGAUAUGACUUAUUUUUUUAAAGUGAAAGCAAGUUUAUUAGAGAAGUAAAUAAACAAAAGAAUGGCUACUCCAUAGACAGAGAAGACCUCAGGGCUGCUCAUUGGCUCUUUUCAUGGUUAUUUCUUGAGUACAUACUAAACAAGGGAUGGAUUAUUUGUGAGUUUUCCAGGGAAAGGAUGGGCAAUUUCCAGAACUCAGGGUGCCUUCC
RNAcentral lists this long non-coding RNA (1286 nucleotides) under Homo sapiens (human). Its description in RNAcentral is "HSALNT0396781". Lineage: Eukaryota; Metazoa; Chordata; Mammalia; Primates; Hominidae. The record is from RNAcentral.